UGGGUUAGUGGCGGACGGGUGAGUAACGCGUGGGCAACCUGCCUUACACAGGGGGAUAACACUUAGAAAUAGGUGCUAAUACCGCAUAACAGUAGGAGACGCAUGUCUUUUACUUGAAAAUUCCGGUGGUGUAAGAUGGACCCGCGUCUGAUUAGCUUGUUGGCGGGGUAACGGCCCACCAAGGCAACGAUCAGUAGCCGGCCUGAGAGGGCGAACGGCCACACUGGGACUGAGACACGGCCCAGACUCCUACGGAAGGCAGCAG
This 265-nucleotide ribosomal RNA is filed under the name uncultured bacterium. Its description in RNAcentral is "partial 16S ribosomal RNA". It matches the Rfam family "Bacterial small subunit ribosomal RNA", at positions 88 to 354 of the family's 1533-position model. The record is from RNAcentral.